AUCGUAAACCUCUGUUGUGAAGGAAGAAUAACUUAAUAGUAAAUGAUCUAUGUUUGACGGUACUUUACCAGAAAGUCACGGCUAACUAUGUGCCAGCAGCCGCGGUAAUACAUAGGUGGCAAGCGUUAUCCGGAUUUAUUGGGCGUAAAGAGUGCACAGGUGGUUUAUCAAGUCAGUUGUKAAAUGCCRAGGCUCAACCUUGGCUCGCAAUUGAAACUGAUAGACUAGAAUAUCGGUGGGGGUAGUAGAAUUCCAUGUGUAGUGGUGGAAUACAUAAAUAUAUGGAGGAAUACCAGUGGCGAAGGCGGCUACCUGAACUGAUUAUUGACACUUAAGCACAAAAGCGGGGGGAGCAAAUAGGAUUAAAUACCCUAGUAGUCCACGCCGUAAACGAUCUAGACUAKACGUUGGGAUAACCCARUGUCACAGCUAACGCAUUAAGUCUAGCGCCUGGGUARUAUGCACGCAAGUGUGAAACUCAAAGGAAUUGACGGGGACCAGCACAAGUGGUGGAGCAUGUGGUUUAAUUCRAAGAUACGCGAAGAACCUUACCUACACUUGAAAUGCUUGGAWGCCUAUAGAGAUAUAKCGGAGGUCAACCARUGCACAGGUGGUGCAUGGUUGUCGUCAGCUCGUGUCGUGAGAUGUUCGGUUAAGUCCGGYAACGAGCGCAACCCCUAUCUUAUGUUACUAACAUUUAGUUGAGGACUCAUGAGAKACUGCCURGGYAACUAGGAGGAAGGUGGGGAUGACGUCAAAUCAUCAUGCCCCUUAUGUGUAGGGCUACACACGUGCUACAUGG
RNAcentral lists this ribosomal RNA (802 nucleotides) under uncultured Mycoplasmataceae bacterium. RNAcentral describes it as "bacterial SSU rRNA". It matches the Rfam family "Bacterial small subunit ribosomal RNA", at positions 422 to 1232 of the family's 1533-position model. The record is from RNAcentral. Lineage: Bacteria; Bacillati; Mycoplasmatota; Mollicutes; Mycoplasmatales; Mycoplasmataceae.